Molecule: ribosomal RNA, 520 nt
Filed under: uncultured Acaulospora
Lineage: Eukaryota; Fungi; Glomeromycota; Glomeromycetes; Diversisporales; Acaulosporaceae
Description: SSU rRNA
Rfam family: Eukaryotic small subunit ribosomal RNA
Source: RNAcentral
AGCAGCCGCGGUAAUUCCAGCUCCAAUAGCGUAUAUUAAAGUUGUUGCAGUUAAAAAGCUCGUAGUUGAAUUUCGGGGUUCAUACGUUGGUCGGGCUAUUUGGUCUGUACUUAUGUAAUGGAUUCCUACCUUCUGAAUAACCGGCAUGCCAUUAAUUUGGUGCGCCGGGGAAGCAGGACUGUUACCUUGAAAAAAUUAGAGUGCUUAAAGCAGGCUAUCGCCUGAAUACAUUAGCAUGGAAUGAUGAAAUAGGACGGCAUGGUUCUAUUUUGUUGGUUCCUAGGAUCACCGUAAUGAUUAAUAGGGAUAGUUGGGGGCAUUAGUAUUCAAUUGUCAGAGGUGAAAUUCUUGGUAUUUAUUGAAGACUAACUUCUGCGAAAGCAUUUGCCAAGGAUGUUUCAUUAAUCAAGAACGAAAGUUAGGGAUCGAAGACGAUCAGAUACCGUCGUAGUCUUAACCAUAAACUAUGCCGACGUAGGGAUCGGACGAUUAGUUAAUUUUUAAUGUACUUCGGUUCGGC